GACGAACGCUGGCGGCGUGCUUAACACAUGCAAGUCGAACGGAAAGGCCCUGCUUUUGUGGGGUGCUCGAGUGGCGAACGGGUGAGUAACACGUGAGUAACCUGCCCUUGACUUUGGGAUAACUUCAGGAAACUGGGGCUAAUACCGGAUAGGAGCUCCUGCUGCAUGGUGGGGGUUGGAAAGUUUCGGCGGUUGGGGAUGGACUCGCGGCUUAUCAGCUUGUUGGUGGGGUAGUGGCUUACCAAGGCUUUGACGGGUAGCCGGCCUGAGAGGGUGACCGGACACAUUGGGACUGGAAUACGGCCCAGACUCCUACGGGAGGCAGCAGUGGGGAAUAUUGCACAAUGGGCGGAAGCCUGAUGCAGCAACGCCGCGUGCGGGAUGACGGCCUUCGGGUUGUAAACCGCUUUCGCCUGUGACGAAGCGUGAGUGACGGUAAUGGGUAAAGAAGCACCGGCUAACUACGUG
This 468-nucleotide ribosomal RNA is filed under the name uncultured bacterium. RNAcentral describes it as "partial 16S ribosomal RNA". It matches the Rfam family "Bacterial small subunit ribosomal RNA", at positions 28 to 507 of the family's 1533-position model. The record is from RNAcentral.